UACGAAGGGUGCAAACGUUGCUCGGAAUUAUUGGGCGUAAAGCGCACGUAGGCGGCUUAGCAAGUCGGAAGUGAAAUCCCACGGCUCAACCAUGGAAGUGCUUUCGAAACUGCUGAGCUUGAGUACUUAAGAGGAUCGCGGAAUUCCAGGUGUAGCGGUGAAAUGCGUAGAUAUCUGGAGGAACACCGGUGGCGAAGGCGGCAUCCUGGACCAACACUGACACUGAGGAGCGAAAGCCAGGGGAGCAAACGGG
This 253-nucleotide ribosomal RNA is filed under the name uncultured bacterium. RNAcentral's name for it is "partial 16S ribosomal RNA". It matches the Rfam family "Bacterial small subunit ribosomal RNA", at positions 524 to 776 of the family's 1533-position model. The record is from RNAcentral.